Chenopodium quinoa (quinoa) is the source of this 915-nucleotide long non-coding RNA. RefSeq lists it as uncharacterized. The record is from RefSeq and is a predicted model, not a curated record. Lineage: Eukaryota; Viridiplantae; Streptophyta; Magnoliopsida; Caryophyllales; Amaranthaceae. The transcript is spliced from 4 exons.
CAUCCUUCUUUUGCACUUACUCACAGCCGUCUCUAGUACAUUCUCUCUCCUCUCUCACUCACCCAUUCAUUCUCUUUCUCUCUCCUAUGAGAUCGCCCUUCAAUGGCGAUUUUUCUCACCUGAUUCUCUCUUCCACCGCUCCUUACCUCCUUUUUCGCUUUCCUCCCUCGGUUAUUGAAAAUUUUCCGUUCAUUUUUUCUCGAUAUCCUCCCUCCUUUGUUUAACCACCGUUCAUUUUAAUCCCCCAGAACCCUAAAACUCCUGCUUGAAGAAUAUGAUACGGCGGAGGUUUUGAUGUCCUCUACGGCGAACUCAGCUGCUGGUGUUGAAUUGAGGGAUCUCUACGCACUGAACAUUAUGGCUACUCGGAUAGUGUCCAAAAUGUUCUUGGUGAGAAGGGAAGAAAGAUUAGGGAGCUGAGCUCGAUUGUGCAUAAGAGUUUAUAUUCGCUAGGUUACAGUUGGGCAAGUGCCUCAAAACAAUUAUCCAUGCUGAUUACCCUGAGCAGUGGCCUGACCUUCUUCACUGGGUGAAGCAUAAUUUUCAAGAUCAACAGGUCUAUGUUGCUUUGUUUGUUUUGCGGAUUCUCGCUGGAAAAUAUGAGUGAGAAGGGAACUCAUUGUUGCUGCUGGUAUUGCAAUUGAUCAUUGUUGCUGAACUACAGCUGCUGAUGGUGCUUAUGGUUGCUGAGGAUCUGCUAUCAUUGUUCUCUUGGAUGCUGUGGUUACUAGUGCUGUUUGUGUUCCAUUAGUCAUUAAUUAUUUAAUUAAAUUAACAUUUUACAAUCUUUUUACAAGUUUAAAAGCAGUUUUUAAGAUGUAAAAUAAAUUUGGUGUAUACUGUAUAUGUCGUGUUUGACACUAUGUAUGUGCCAUAAAAACCAAUAUUUUAAUUUGGAGUAUGUUUAUUGUUUAA